Molecule: small nuclear RNA, 150 nt
Organism: Xenopus tropicalis (tropical clawed frog)
Lineage: Eukaryota; Metazoa; Chordata; Amphibia; Anura; Pipidae
Gene: U12
Rfam family: U12 minor spliceosomal RNA
About the family: Although the U12 sequence is very divergent from that of U2, the two are functionally analogous.
Source: Ensembl
AUGCCUUAAACUAAUGAGUAAGGAAAAUAACGAGCCGGGGUGACGCCUGGUUCCUCACUACUCAUGUGAGAAGAAUUUUUGAGCGGGCACAGGUUGCCCCCAGGAGGAUCCGCCUACCUUGUGGGACCUCCGGGUGUAGUGAUCUGCCCG